CCUACGGGAGGCAGCAGUGAGGAAUAUUGGUCAAUGGGCGAGAGCCUGAACCAGCCAAGUCGCGUGAAGGAAGAAGGAUCUAUGGUUCGUAAACUUCUUUUUUAGGGGAAUAAAGUGCGGUACGUGUACCGUUUUGUAUGUACCCUACGAAUAAGGAUCGGCUAACUCCGUGCCAGCAGCCGCGGUAAUACGGAGGAUCCGAGCGUUAUCCGGAUUUAUUGGGUUUAAAGGGUGCGUAGGCGGAAGAAUAAGUCAGUGGUGAAAGUUUGCAGCUCAACUGUAAAAUUGCCGUUGAAACUGUUUUUCUUGAGUGUAAAUGAGGUAGGCGGAAUGUGUUGUGUAGCGGUGAAAUGCUUAGAUAUGACACAGAACACCGAUUGCGAAGGCAGCUUACUAAGAUACAACUGACGCUGAGGCACGAAAGCGUGGGGAUCGAACAGGAUUAGAUACCCUGGUAGUCCACGCAGUAAACGAUGAUUACUAGCUGUUUGCGAUAUACUGUAAGUGGCUAAGCGAAAGCGAUAAGUAAUCCACCUGGGGAGUACGUUCGCAAGAAUGAAACUCAAAGGAAUUGACGG
Molecule: ribosomal RNA, 578 nt
Filed under: uncultured bacterium
Lineage: Bacteria
Description: bacterial SSU rRNA
Rfam family: Bacterial small subunit ribosomal RNA
Source: RNAcentral